AGUGUUUAAAAACACAGUGCAGCCUGAAAGGAGAGAGAAAAUCAGAAUCACGGUAUGGAUCCUGAGGACAGAAGUUACAGUGACAGGUCCUGAAAUAAGCCUUCUAUUUUUUUCACGCUGCCCUCUGGUAACUGAGCUGCAUAAGCUAGAAAGAACAGCCAGAAGCAAAUUAUUGGAAAUGGUUCUUUAGUUAUGUGCUAAUAUGUAUACAAGACUAAAGCAAGGGCUUUGUUUCUGGGUGGUAUUUGAAAGCCCAAAUGAAGGAGGCAAUGCCCAACUGGGAAAAAGUUGUGUUACAGAUUUCAUUUUUUCCUUUGUUUUAUUUUAUGAGAAACAGUUAAAGUUAAAGAAACCCAUUUUCUUGUGUUGACCUCUGUUACGGAGUUACAAAAAACAUCCAUCUUGUAAAUUCUAAAUAUAUUAUGCUAAGUAUUUCAGGCUAA
This is a long non-coding RNA of Oxyura jamaicensis (ruddy duck), 443 nucleotides long. RefSeq lists it as uncharacterized. Lineage: Eukaryota; Metazoa; Chordata; Aves; Anseriformes; Anatidae. The transcript has 3 exons. The record is from RefSeq and is a predicted model, not a curated record.